Long non-coding RNA from Vollenhovia emeryi, 564 nucleotides. RefSeq lists it as uncharacterized. The transcript has 2 exons. The record is from RefSeq and is a predicted model, not a curated record. NCBI's taxonomy places the organism in Eukaryota, Metazoa, Arthropoda, Insecta, Hymenoptera, Formicidae.
AAAAAUAAAAAGGGAUGAAAGAACCGCACUCACAGAGCAGCGCGACAACCGCAAGUGGUUAAACAAUUUGACCAGCAAGCAACCAUUGUGGCAAUUGCAAGUGUGGAUAUCGACGAAGGUUGCGAACAGCCUUGAUACGCAUCAUAUAUCUUGGGAAAGAAAAUUGAAAGUAAGGAUUAACCGACUAAUCAAAUUCACAAGGCCUACAUGUAAUAAACACAUAAGAAUAAAAGACUAACGCCUGGCUUCACCAAACAUUGCUUAACUUUAAUCUGACAAUUAGUUUAAUUCAUAUUUGUCUCUUUCUAAAGUAACAGUUGAAAAGAGACAAAGAACAAAUUCAGCUAAGCUUAAUGUUAAAGCAUUGCUUAACUUUAAUCUUAGUUUAAUUCAUAUUUGUCCCUUUCUAAGGGACAAAGAACACUUGGAAAGAGACAAAGAACGAAUUAAGCUAAGCUUAAAGUUAAGCAAUAGUGGUACAACCAGACCUUAGUCCUUUGUUCCUUUGUGUUUAAAAGUAAAGGCGUCAGAAAAAUAUAAAGAUACACAUCCAUAAUUGACAUA